Molecule: ribosomal RNA, 972 nt
Filed under: Ascarops strongylina
Lineage: Eukaryota; Metazoa; Nematoda; Chromadorea; Rhabditida; Spirocercidae
Description: partial large subunit ribosomal RNA
Rfam family: Eukaryotic large subunit ribosomal RNA
Source: RNAcentral
UAUAGGUGCAACUAUUCAAAUGUUUCGUGCACCCAAAGUCCCCUUGAGCGGGGCCACAGUCCAUAGAAGGUGCUAGACCUGUACGGGUGAUGAAAUAUUUGAUAGGUUGUUCCAUGGAGUCGGGUUGUUUGAGAUUGCAGCCCAAAGAGGGUGGUAAACCUCAUCUAAGGCUAAAUAUGACCACGAGACCGAUAGCAAACAAGUACCGUGAGGGAAAGUUGCAAAGAACUUUGAAGAGAGAGUUCAAGAGGGCGUGAAACCGCUGAGAUGGAAACGGAUAGAGUUGACGAAACUUAUCAGCAUUCAACCGAUCAACUUAACAGUCUUACGGCUUUGUACCUUAAAAUUUUUUGGGGGCAUUGACGUAAGUUUAUACCGUUAAGUUUUUUUAUGAUUGGUGUAUUUGCUGAUAGUAUGCGCUGAGAGCUUCGUUAUUGCAUGUUAAUAUGUAUUGUAGUGGACCAUAUCAAUUUUGAUGUGGAAACCUACAUACAGUGAAACAUGUCUUUGAUGAAGUUACCAUGUGUGCAACAACUUUCGCAAAACAAUUGUGCAUCAUUUAUAAUAUGAUUAAAUUAACAUUUAAAUGCGGUCGCUUGCGACUUGUCAAAAAAUGUUAUUUGAUCGAUUAUAAAUUUGUAUGCGUUAAAGUUGUAUCUCGGUGUGAACGUCAAUCACCUAUCCGACCCGUCUUGAAACACGGACCAAGGAGUCUAGCAUAUACGCAAGCUAUUGGGUGGUAAACCUAAAAAGCAUAAUGAAAGUAAAGAUCAUCUUUGAUAUGAUUGAUAUGUGAUCCGUAUAAAAAUUAUUUCAAUAUAAUUAAUAUACGGCGCAACAUAGCCCCGUCCUUAUUGCAUGCAAUAGGGCGGAGGUAGAGCGUAUACGCUGGGACCCGAAAGAUGGUGAACUAUACCUGAGCAGGAUGAAGCCAGAGGAAACUCUGGUGGAGGUCCGAAGCGAUUCUGACGU